UAAGGGCGCACGGUGGAUGCCUUGGCACUAGAAGCCGAUGAAGGACGUUACUAACGACGAUAUGCUUUGGGGAGCUGUAAGUAAGCUUUGAUCCAGAGAUUUCCGAAUGGGGAAACCCAGCAUGAGUUAUGUCAUGUUAUCGAUAUGUGAAUACAUAGCAUAUCAGAAGGCACACCCGGAGAACUGAAACAUCUUAGUACCCGGAGGAAGAGAAAGAAAAUUCGAUUCCCUUAGUAGCGGCGAGCGAAACGGGAAGAGCCCAAACCAACAAGCUUGCUUGUUGGGGUUGUAGGACACUCUAUACGGAGUUACAAAGGACGACAUUAGACGAAUCAUCUGGAAAGAUGAAUCAAAGAAGGUAAUAAUCCUGUAGUCGAAAAUGUUGUCUCUCUUGAGUGGAUCCUGAGUACGACGGAGCACGUGAAAUUCCGUCGGAAUCUGGGAGGACCAUCUCCUAAGGCUAAAUACUCUCUAGUGACCGAUAGUGAACCAGUACCGUGAGGGAAAGGUGAAAAGCACCCCGGAAGGGGAGUGAAAUAGAACCUGAAACCGUGUGCUUACAAGUAGUCAGAGCCCGUUAAUGGGUGAUGGCGUGCCUUUUGUAGAAUGAACCGGCGAGUUACGAUUUGAUGCAAGGUUAAGCAGUAAAUGUGGAGCCGUAGCGAAAGCGAGUCUGAAUAGGGCGUUUAGUAUUUGGUCGUAGACCCGAAACCAGGUGAUCUACCCUUGGUCAGGUUGAAGUUCAGGUAACACUGAAUGGAGGACCGAACCGACUUACGUUGAAAAGUGAGCGGAUGAACUGAGGGUAGCGGAGAAAUUCCAAUCGAACCUGGAGAUAGCUGGUUCUCUCCGAAAUAGCUUUAGGGCUAGCCUCAAGUGAUGAUUAUUGGAGGUAGAG
RNAcentral lists this ribosomal RNA (898 nucleotides) under Staphylococcus aureus. Its description in RNAcentral is "partial 23S ribosomal RNA". It matches the Rfam family "Bacterial large subunit ribosomal RNA", at positions 12 to 907 of the family's 2925-position model. Lineage: Bacteria; Bacillati; Bacillota; Bacilli; Caryophanales; Staphylococcaceae. The record is from RNAcentral.